Molecule: unclassified non-coding RNA, 299 nt
Filed under: uncultured Preussia
Lineage: Eukaryota; Fungi; Ascomycota; Dothideomycetes; Pleosporales; Sporormiaceae
Description: partial contains 5.8S ribosomal RNA, internal transcribed spacer 2, and large subunit ribosomal RNA
Rfam family: 5.8S ribosomal RNA (bases 1-102)
Source: RNAcentral
AUGCGAUAAGUAGUGUGAAUUGCAGAAUUCAGUGAAUCAUCGAAUCUUUGAACGCACAUUGCGCCCUUUGGUAUUCCUUAGGGCAUGCCUGUUCGAGCGUCAUUUAAACCUUCAAGCCCUGCUUGGUGUUGGGUGCCUGUCCCGCCCCCCGCGCGUGGACUCACCUCAAAUCCAUUGGCGGCCCCCGCAUGGCCACGAGCGCAGCAGAAACGCAAACUCGUGUGCCGGACCGGGCGGCUCCCAGAAGCUACACUCACCAUUUUGACCUCGGAUCAGGUAGGGAUACCCGCUGAACUUAA